GGUGAACGCUGGCGGUAGGCCUAACACAUGCAAGUCGAACGGCAGCACAGUAAGAGCUUGCUCUUACGGGUGGCGAGUGGCGGACGGGUGAGGAAUCCAUCGGAAUCUACUUUUUCGUGGGGGAUAACGUAGGGAAACUUACGCUAAUACCGCAUACGACCUACGGGUGAAAGCAGGGGAUCUUCGGACCUUGCGCGAUUGAAUGAGCCGAUGUCGGAUUAGCUAGUCGGCGGGGUAAAGGCCCACCAAGGCGACGAUCCGUAGCUGGUGUGAGAGGAUGAUCAGCCACACUAGAACUGAGACACGGUCCAGACUCCUAAGGGAGGCAGCAGUGGGGAAUAUUGCACAAUGGGCGCAAGCCUGAUCCAGCCAUGCCGCGUGAGUGAAGAAGGCCUUCGGGUUGUAGAGCCCUUUUGUUGGGAAAGAAAAGCAGCAGGUUAAUACCCCGCUGUUAUGACGGUACCCAAAGAAUAAGCACCGGCUAACUUCGUG
Molecule: ribosomal RNA, 492 nt
Filed under: uncultured bacterium
Lineage: Bacteria
Description: partial 16S ribosomal RNA
Rfam family: Bacterial small subunit ribosomal RNA
Source: RNAcentral